Long non-coding RNA from Capsicum annuum, 2784 nucleotides. RefSeq lists it as uncharacterized. The transcript has 8 exons. NCBI's taxonomy places the organism in Eukaryota, Viridiplantae, Streptophyta, Magnoliopsida, Solanales, Solanaceae. The record is from RefSeq and is a predicted model, not a curated record.
CUCCAAUUCGUCAUCCUCAUUCUAAACAAACUACAAACUAUAGAUGCACGCUUUCAAUCUUCUUCCCAAAAAAAAUUCUUUUUCUUCUGACUCCAUCGAAAUUCAGAUUUGCCUAAUUUUUUUCCAAAUCUCUUUUAGAUUUCGAUUCAUGGAUGGAUAAAUAUUGUUUUGUUCAAGUCAUCCAUAUCCCCGUUGAUGCCGCCAUCAAUUGCUUCUGGUUUCCUUGAGAAAACCAAUGCAAAAGAUGCAUCUGGAAAUGCUGUAUUUGGAGACUGGUGUUUAUUUGUAACAAGAGGCAAAACUCAAAGGCGACUUAGAGGAUUACAGUUUUUUGUUACUUUAUCAUAAGCUAUUGUUUGCAAACCAUAGCAAUUAAAAGGGAGAGGACCAGAGAUAGAGAUGAUGGUGAACGUCAUUGAACUUGAGAUUAUGACCAAGAUCAUGACAAAGAUAGAGAGAGUCAGCAUAGACAUAGGUCUCGCUCAAAGGGUAGAUCUGAGCAUAGAUCAAUGUCUUGAUCGCAUUUUCAAUCCAAGAGGAGCUGCUGUUGAUGGAGAUGCAGUACAUACUAACCAAAAUAACACAAAGAGAAAAAGGGCAGUUCCUGGUCCAAGUAACCUUGAUGAAAUUUUUAAGUCACCUGUGCCUCCAAAUAGGAGAAAGGGCCAUGACAAAGACCGUCAAAUUACUGGGAUAUAUAAUCCUCAAAAUAUCUUAAGCUGAAUGAACAUGGACAGGCACAUGGCUCCUAGAGAUAUAGGGAAUGAUAUGAGAUUUCUUGAGGGAGGAAGUCAGCUUGUUUCUGCUAAAGCAAGUACAGAACUUGGCCUUGAUAUAGAAGAUUUUUAUAUUCCCUGGGAAGUUCUUGUUCUAAAAGAGAGGAUUAAGGGUCUUUUGGUACCGUUCAUCGUGCUGAUUGAAAUGGCUCUGAUGUUGCUGUGAAGAUUCUCAUGGAACAAGAUUUUCAUGUAGAGCGAAUUGAAGGAAUUUUUGCGGGAGGUAACUCUGAUCUCCCUACUCCUCAACUAUUGAUAAACAAACUGGAUGAAAGGCGUCGGUUGGCUAUGGCGUACGAUGUGGCAAAGGGGAUGAAUUAUCUACAUAAGCGCAAUCCUCCUAUUGUUCAUAGAGAUUUAAAAUCUCCAAAUCUUUUAGUUAAUUAAAAAUACACAGUGAAGGUGAGAGUAAUAACCUCCACGACACAUGUAACGGUGCAAUCCAUCAUUUUUCUAUUGAUAUACUUCUAGACUUGCACUGUCAGAGUAGUGGUCUAAACAGAGGUCUGAAUCCAAUCUCAGAAAUAUAAUCUAACUCUACUGACUCUACUGCAUUCUGGAACAAGUCUUACGCAAAGUUACUUAUGAUAAAUAAUUAAGUUCUGUUAUGAUGUUUAUUGCAUAUUCUGUACUCUUAUAUUUAUUAAAGAUAUCUCUUUAUGCAAAGAUGUUGGAUGUCCCUCACCUGUCUGAUGUCUUCAUCAGGCCUAUGAUUUUGUCUUUCUCGUUUAAAAGCGAACACAUUUCUCUCAUCAAAGUCGACUGCUGGGACUAUGAGUUCUUGAUUCAAUGUAUGCUUUAUUUAACUUUUAUUCAUCUUUGGCACUUCACUUCAUCAAUGAAAAAAAGUAUUUGAUUCUUCUUGUGAUAGCCAGAAUGGAUGGCACCUGAAGUUCUUCAUGAUGAACCAUUAAAUGAGAAAUCUGAUGUAUACAGCUUUGGUGUCAUUUUGUGGGAGCGGACAACAUUGCAACAACCUUGUGUUACUUUGAACCCAGCACAGGUUUGUAUUUCUAAUCCUUCUGUUGUAUUGUCCAGGGGGGAUUUAAGGUAGAAACCUGAUGUUUGUGAAUGCGUCCAGAGGAAUAAUUGUUUAUAGGUGAAAUUACCUAAAGCCAACUAUUGAAAGGUGCAAGUGAAUUGUUGUACGAAGGCUUUUACCGGGGAUUGAAACGCUCCAAUUUGACAUUAGUUGCACAAGGAAUCAUUUUGCUCCUCUUAAAUCUAAAAUGGCUCAUCCACGAAAUACCGAGCACUGUGUUUACUGAAAAGCAAAAGCAGGACCUUUAUGUUGCAAUACUUAAUUUAGUGUAAAGACUGAACAAUAGGCUGCAUCUGGAGCCAUUCAAUUUUGUGUUGGGAGUUGAUUCAAGUUAUUUCUUUUUCCUUCUAUGUUUGGUAUGACUUAUACCAGGGGAUGGAGAAUAAUCCAAUUUAUUGGUACUUUCAUCAUUAAGAGAUGAGAUAAGAGGGGAUGUAUAUCGAUUCUUAUGAAUUUUGUAUUGGUUAAAAGGAUCUAAACCUGUAGGUUGUAGCUACUGUUGGCUUCAAGGGGAGAAGACUCGAAAUUCCACGUGACGUGACUCCUCAAGUGGCAAGCAUUAAUGAGGCUUGUUGGGCCAAGUAUGUUUCUUAUGUUCUUCCAUAGUUCAGUCAUGGACUUUUGGGUUGCUUUGACGUGCUCUUUAAGUCGCUUGGGAUAAUGUUGCAGAGAACCAUGGAAACGUCCCUCCUGCUGCAAUCAUGGAUAUACUGAGACCACUAAUUAAACCUCAUGUAGCACCUUCUCAAUCAGUUCAUACAGACAUGCAGUUGCUUUCAUGAAUGCCUGCAAUAGAAUCAUACCCUCGAUAAACUGCAAGUGUUUCAUGUCAUGUCUAAUCACCUCUCUUGAUAAGCAUUUUUUCACACCAAAUAUCACAAAAUGCUUGCAAGUACAUUCAAUUUAUUCAACAAGUUGAUCCCCAUCAUAUCACAAAAUACAUGCCAGAAAUACUUCCUUCUCAAA